ACUAGAAAGCCGAAGAUGUUAAUCAUCUUGUGUGUGCGCAACAAGCUCAGAGAAGCCGGGCAGCAGCAGCCGGGCGACAUGCGAGGAAUAAUGCAAAAGCCACUCUCUCUCUUUCUCUCUCUUUCAAUUUCUUUUUUUCUCUCUCUUUAAAGUAGAAAUGAUUCGAUUUAAAAGUCACAGCCGUUGGUGGACAAUUUCGGUCGCGUGAGCCAGUUGGAAAAAAUACAAAAAUUAAAAGUGUGGGGAAGAAGGGAAACGAGUUAAUUGAUGUGUCUUAACACAUUCAAUCAAUUUCGUUUGUAUCAUUAGUCGAAAUCUUUGGGGUCCCGGCACCUCGCAUCAUUUGGUUAUUUUUCGUUCCGUUUUGUUUUUCUCUUUUUUCUCCUUUUUGACGUGACCAAAAAAGGUCACGACGUCGCCCGUGAAACUGGAACCAACCGCCUGGCCGUCAAAAACAAAAAGGGGGAAACAAAAUCCAGCCAAAGUUCGAGCUAGAAAGAGAGAGAGAGAGAGAGACUAUGUCGUGAAUCGGACCAUCUGCCUCAUCUUUGGCCGGUAAAUGGGUGGAACGGCGGGGAUUUGGCGACGGGCGACCGUCGGUUCGGCCCAUUUCGCCAGCGUUACGCAAUCGGGCCGUUCGAUCGCAAAUCGAAGGCCGUCCGGUAAGUCGCUAAAUGUCGAUCAAGUGUUCCAGACGGUGGCUGGCACGCACUGCGGAUGGCUGGCCGGGCCACUGCCGCUGCCGUUGCUGCUGGCCCCUUUCUCUUCUUCCUUUUUUCUUUAUUUAAAAAAAUAAGAAAAGAAAAAAAGAAAAACUCCCGACGUUUUCUUAUUCUGGCGCCCAGGUCCUUUCCGAGACUUUUUUUUUUCUUUUUCUCUCAGCUGGCCCAUGAGAGAAGAGAGUUCACGGGCCACAAGGCUAAAGCAUCCACCACCCCACCACCACCUCCCAUUCCACCCAAGAAAAGAGAAUCAAAAGGAAGAAGAAGAAGAAGAAGAAGAAAAAGAGAUUUUUUCGGGACCCCCCGAGGGCCUUUCUACCACACUAGGAGUAUAUCCCAUUGGUGAUUCAUCCAGCAACAGGUAGUGCGUGUGUGUGUGUGUGUAAGAGAGAAAAAGGGCGGAGGAGGUAGAGAGAGAGAGAAAGAGAGGGCAGGGCUGAGCCGAGUAUAAAACGGGUGGUCAGGUGUCGCGCGCCCGCCUUGUGCUCAGCCGUCGACCGUCCGGAGCGGUCGUGAUCCUCGUCCUCUACAACUCUGUGUGCAACCAUCUUCUCCUCUCAUUUUUGCCCAGUGCCUCGACACGGAUGGACUUGUUUGUUUUGUCGCUGCUCUCUCGUUCUCUCUGCUGGUCCAAUCAGAAACAAAAAGUGGCCGACAACAGGAACAACAGGGCGGCGAUUUUCAAAAAAAUAUUUCCGACACGUUCAAGAAUUUUCGACAGGAGAAAAACAAACAAACAAACAGGUAAGACGGAAAAAACGACUCAAACAUCAAGAGGCUUCACGCAGAAUUUUUUUCCACGAGAGACCGAAGAAGAAAAAACUUGCAAGUUGACAUUGUUUGGUCAAAACAACUUCAAACGAAAAGUGAGUAGACGCCCCAAAAUGUUGAUGGCAUUUCCCUUGUGUAAACUAUUUUUAAAAUUCUUUAUUUUCUUUCCUUCAAAAAAUUUGAUUCUUUGACUAUGUGCGCGUGUGUGUGUAUUUAAAAACUAUACGUAAUAAACGGAUUGGACUACA
Molecule: long non-coding RNA, 1741 nt
Filed under: Daphnia pulicaria
Lineage: Eukaryota; Metazoa; Arthropoda; Branchiopoda; Diplostraca; Daphniidae
Description: uncharacterized LOC124310799
Source: RNAcentral